UACGGGGGGGGCAAGCGUUGUUCGGAAUUACUGGGCGUAAAGGGCUCGUAGGCGGCCAACUAAGUCAGACGUGAAAUCCCUCGGCUUAACCGGGGAACUGCGUCUGAUACUGGAUGGCUUGAGGUUGGGAGAGGGAUGCGGAAUUCCAGGUGUAGCGGUGAAAUGCGUAGAUAUCUGGAGGAACACCGGUGGCGAAGGCGGCAGCCUGGACCAAUUCUGACGCUGAGGAGCGAAAGCCAGGGGAGCAAACGGG
Molecule: ribosomal RNA, 253 nt
Filed under: uncultured bacterium
Lineage: Bacteria
Description: partial 16S ribosomal RNA
Rfam family: Bacterial small subunit ribosomal RNA
Source: RNAcentral